RNAcentral lists this ribosomal RNA (496 nucleotides) under uncultured bacterium. Its description in RNAcentral is "partial 16S ribosomal RNA". It matches the Rfam family "Bacterial small subunit ribosomal RNA", at positions 28 to 507 of the family's 1533-position model. The record is from RNAcentral.
GAUGAACGCUGGCGGCGUGCCUAAUACAUGCAAGUCGAGCGAACAGACGAGGAGCUUGCUCCUCUGACGUUGCGGCCGCCCGGGUAGUUACCCGUUGAUUACCCUCCUUUUAAACCUGGAAAACUUCGGGAAACCCGAGCUAAUUCCGGGAAAUUUUUUUAACCCCCUGGUUUCAUUGUUAAAAGCCGUUUUUCCUUUCCCUUAUAAUUGAUCCCCGCCGCCUUAGCUAGUUGGUAAGGUAACGGCUUAACAAAGCAACGAUGCGUAGCCGACCUGAGAGGGUGAUCGGCCACACUGGAACUGAGACACGGUCCAGACUCCUACGGGAGGCAGCAGUAGGGAAUCUUCCGCAAUGGGCGAAAGCCUGACGGAGCAACGCCGCGUGAGUGAUGAAGGUCUUCGGAUCGUAAAACUCUGUUAUUAGGGAAGAACAAAUGUGUAAGUAACUAUGCACGUCUUGACGGUACCUAAUCAGAAAGCCACGGCUAACUACGUG